CCCUUAGAUGUUCUGGGCGGCCCGCGCACUACAAUGGCGUGUGCAGCGAGUGCCGAAGUAGAGUUUUCCGAGGUAUUCUUGCAAUGCUCGUUUUGAUGGGGAUAGACCCUUGCAACUGUUGGUUUUGAACGAGGAAUUCCUUGUAAGCAUGGUUUAUCAUCCGACGCUUAAUGCGUCCCUGCCCUUUGUACACACCGCCCGUCGCUCCUACCGAUGAGUCGUCCGGUGAAGUUCGUAGACCUCGUGAUCGCGGAUCACUGGGGGAAGCAAAAUGAACCUCGCGGUUUAGAGGAAGGAGAAGUCGUAACA
RNAcentral lists this ribosomal RNA (309 nucleotides) under uncultured eukaryote. Its description in RNAcentral is "partial 18S ribosomal RNA". It matches the Rfam family "Eukaryotic small subunit ribosomal RNA", at positions 1470 to 1796 of the family's 1831-position model. The record is from RNAcentral.